GAUGAACGCUAGCGGCAGGCCUAACACAUGCAAGUCGAGGGGCAGCACAAAGAUAGCUUGCUAUUUUGGUGGCGACCGGCGAAUGGGUGAGUAACGCGUAUGCAACCUGCCUUCUACAGGGAGAUAGCUCGGAGAAAUUCGGAUUAAUAUCCCAUACGGUCUUUUUAACACAAGUUUUAGAGAAGAAAGCUACGGCGGUAGAAGAUGGGCAUGCGUCCUAUUAGUUAGUUGGUAAGGUAACGGCUUACCAAGACAGCGAUAGGUAGGGGGCCUGAGAGGGUGAUCCCCCACACUGGUACUGAGACACGGACCAGACUCCUACGGGAGGCAGCAGUGAGGAAUAUUGGUCAAUGGAGGCAACUCUGAACCAGCCCUGCCGCGUGCAGGAAGAAUGCCCUAUGGGUUGUAAACUGCUUUUUAUUGGGAAGAAACCCUCUACGUGUAAGAGGCUGACGGUACUAAAUGAAUAAAGGUCCGCUAACUCCCGUGCCAGCAGCCGCGGUAAUACCGAGGAUCUAGUGGUAUCCCGAAUUAUUGGGGUUUAAAG
RNAcentral lists this ribosomal RNA (547 nucleotides) under uncultured bacterium. RNAcentral describes it as "bacterial SSU rRNA". It matches the Rfam family "Bacterial small subunit ribosomal RNA", at positions 28 to 565 of the family's 1533-position model. The record is from RNAcentral.